AGAGUUUGAUCAUGGCUCAGGACGAACGCUGGCGGCGUGCUUAACACAUGCAAGUCGAACGGAAAGGCCCUUUCGGGGUACUCGAGUGGCGAACGGGUGAGUAACACGUGGGUGAUCUGCCCUGCACUUUGGGAUAAGCCUGGGAAACUGGGUCUAAUACCGAAUAUGACCAUGCGCCUCCUGGUGUGUGGUGGAAAGCUUUUGCGGUGUGGGAUGGGCCCGCGGCCUAUCAGCUUGUUGGUGGGGUAAUGGCCUACCAAGGCGACGACGGGUAGCCGGCCUGAGAGGGUGACCGGCCACACUGGGACUGAGAUACGGCCCAGACUCCUACGGGAGGCAGCAGUGGGGAAUAUUGCACAAUGGGCGCAAGCCUGAUGCAGCGACGCCGCGUGAGGGAUGACGGCCUUCGGGUUGUAAACCUCUUUCAGCACAGACGAAGCGCAAGUGACGGUAUGUGCAGAAGAAGGACCGGCCAACUACGUGCCAGCAGCCGCGGUAAUACGUAGGGUCCGAGCGUUGUCCGGAAUUACUGGGCGUAAAGAGCUCGUAGGUGGUUUGUCGCGUUGUUCGUGAAAACUCACAGCUUAACUGUGGGCGUGCGGGCGAUACGGGCAGACUUGAGUACUGCAGGGGAGACUGGAAUUCCUGGUGUAGCGGUGGAAUGCGCAGAUAUCAGGAGGAACACCGGUGGCGAAGGCGGGUCUCUGGGCAGUAACUGACGCUGAGGAGCGAAAGCGUGGGGAGCGAACAGGAUUAGAUACCCUGGUAGUCC
This 772-nucleotide ribosomal RNA is filed under the name uncultured bacterium. RNAcentral's name for it is "bacterial SSU rRNA". It matches the Rfam family "Bacterial small subunit ribosomal RNA", at positions 8 to 796 of the family's 1533-position model. The record is from RNAcentral.